RNAcentral lists this ribosomal RNA (386 nucleotides) under uncultured organism. RNAcentral describes it as "bacterial SSU rRNA". It matches the Rfam family "Bacterial small subunit ribosomal RNA", at positions 137 to 554 of the family's 1533-position model. The record is from RNAcentral.
AGGGGAACAACAGCUGUAAACGGCUGCUAAUACCCCAUAGGCUGAGGAGCAAAAGGAGGAAUCCGCCCAAGGAGGGGCUCGCGUCUGAUUAGUUAGUUGGUGAGGCAAUGGCUUACCAAGGCGACGAUCAGUACCUGGUCCGAGAGGAUGAUCAGCCACACUGGGACUGAGACACGGCCCUCACUCCUACGGGAGGCAGCAGUGGGGAAUUUUCCGCAAUGGGCGAAAGCCUGACGGAGCAAUGCCGCGUGAAGGCAGAAGGCCCACGGGUCAUGAACUUCUUUUCUCGGAGAAGAAAAAAUGACGGUAUCUGAGGAAUAACCCUCGGCUAACUCUGUGCAAGCAGCCGCGGUAAGACAGAGGAUGCAAGCGUUAUCCGGAAUGAU